GACGAACGCUGGCGGCGUGCCUAAUACAUGCAAGUCGGGCGAACGGACGAGAAGCUUGCUUCUCUGAUGUUAGCGGCGGACGGGUGAGUAACACGUGGAUACCCUCCUUAUCAGACUGGUAUAACUUCGGGAAACCGGCGCUAAUACCGGAUAAUAUUCUGGACCGCAUGGUUGAUAAGAGAAAGACGGUCUUGCUGUCUCUUCUAGAUGGAUCUGCGCUGCAUUAGCUAGUUGGUAAGGUAACGGCUUACCAAGGCAACGAUGCAUAGCCGACCUGAGAGGGUGAUCGGCCACACUGGAACUGAGACACGGUCCAGACUCCUACGGGAGGCAGCAGUAGGGAAUCUUCCGCAAUGGGCGAAAGCCUGACGGAGCAACGCCGCGUGAGUGAUGAAGGUCUUCGGAUCGUAAAACUCUGUUAUUAGGGAAGAACAUAUGUGUAAGUAACUGUGCACAUCUUGACGGUACCUAAUCAGAAAGCCACGGCUAACUACGUG
RNAcentral lists this ribosomal RNA (497 nucleotides) under uncultured bacterium. RNAcentral's name for it is "partial 16S ribosomal RNA". It matches the Rfam family "Bacterial small subunit ribosomal RNA", at positions 28 to 507 of the family's 1533-position model. The record is from RNAcentral.